Molecule: non-coding RNA, 204 nt
Filed under: uncultured Clostridium sp.
Lineage: Bacteria; Bacillati; Bacillota; Clostridia; Eubacteriales; Clostridiaceae
Description: SAM riboswitch (S box leader)
Rfam family: SAM riboswitch aptamer (S box leader)
About the family: The SAM riboswitch is found upstream of a number of genes which code for proteins involved in methionine or cysteine biosynthesis in Gram-positive bacteria. The SAM riboswitch acts at the level of transcription termination control. The predicted structure consists of a complex stem-loop region followed by a single stem loop terminator region.
Source: RNAcentral
UCUUAUCAAGAGUGGUGGAGGGACUGGCCCUGUGAAACCCAGCAACCUAUUUUUAAUUGAGAAUUAAAAGUUUAUGAUUAUGUAUAAAAGUCUUAAGGGACUUUUUUACAAUCGUAUUUUAUAGAAACUUAAGAGAAUUUUUAUAAUUAAGUAUCAAUUGAAUUUGUGGUGCUAAUUCCUGCAGCUUUUAGCUGAUAGAUGAGA